AGAAUCCCAAACCUGGAGGGAGGAGACCAACCGGCUGCAAAUUCUUCUCCAGGAGGAGUCCCCAGAGGCUGAAGAACAAUGUCAUGGUGGUGUUGGUGUGGCAACUGGACAGUUGUGAAUCAAACUGAGAAACUGAGACCAGGAAGAUCCUGAGCCACGCAACAUUGGAGGUGUCUCCGGCCAUUUGCAAUGGGUACAAAGUCAAAGAAGUCACAUGUGGAGGAUGAAGCAGAAAAUCCACUUAGAACCAGGCGGCCUGGGAGACACGGGUUUACGAGGACUGCUGGAUUUCGAAUAAUUCACCUGUCAGCUUUGUGGAUUCUUGCCCCAGAUUUGCUCCUUUGCUUCUCUGGCUCAGUGGUUCCUACUCUGUCAACAAGUGCCUUCAAAGAUCUGUCUCCCAGAUGCCUCUAAGAUUGAAGAUUUUCAUCACAUUUAGAGCCACUUCUCUACUACCUCUCACUUCUCAUUCACAUGCCUACCGAACCUACAUCGUCCCCUCCCUCGAACCUGUGGACCGUCGACUGGAAGUCGGGGAAAAUGGGUUAGCUUUCUCUUGGGUGGCAAAUUAUUUUUUAAUUAAUGCUGCUGCCGU
Lynx canadensis (Canada lynx) is the source of this 595-nucleotide long non-coding RNA. RefSeq lists it as uncharacterized. The record is from RefSeq and is a predicted model, not a curated record. NCBI's taxonomy places the organism in Eukaryota, Metazoa, Chordata, Mammalia, Carnivora, Felidae. The transcript is spliced from 3 exons.